This 724-nucleotide long non-coding RNA is filed under the name Bemisia tabaci. RNAcentral describes it as "lncRNA ENSSSA3NGG003106". Lineage: Eukaryota; Metazoa; Arthropoda; Insecta; Hemiptera; Aleyrodidae. The record is from RNAcentral.
AACCACGAUUUCCAACUAAUGUGGACUUCAACAAUCGUAGCAGUGCACAUCAACCAACUUGUCCUCUGUAUAUAAAUCAUACUGAAUCAAUAAGACUGGAUAGUGAGCUCAGGCGCUGGAUUGGCGUUGAUCCUGAAGAAGCGGACAAUGUCAGUGGAACGAAGAGUAUUGAAAAACCUUCCGGUUUUAAGAAUCUUCUGAGUCAGCUUAUGCUACCGUACCUCCCAACGAAAUUUACCCCACCAGUUCCAAGACAAAAAUUAAAAUUCAAAAAUAAUAGAAUAGUCAACUCCCGUAUGAACCACGCUAUAGAUAUAUAUAGUGGUGAACACAUUCCAAACACAAACGAACCAUUACUAGAAGCACUUAAUCGACGCGAUGAUACAUUCUAUGUUGUUUCAUUCUCGGUGAUCACUACUGUUUCCUGCUCUAGCUCUUAACAAAACCGCUCGACCUAAAAUGUCUUUAGUGUUUCCUGCUCUUUCUACCAAUGAUUCUACAACCAACGAACUAGUCACAAUGAUGCAAUAGAUUGUGCCGUAACAGACACUAAAGUACUCCAGUUUAGGGAAGCAGUCAUCCCAUUGCAUUUGCGCAAAGCCAAUAAUGUCUCAGGAUCCAACAGUCAACCAGGUAAGAGCCGUUCUGUCCAUAAUGAUGUCAAAACCUGUCAUUCUAGGUCAGUGCAACAGAAAAUUUUCUUAAAAUUUCUUUUAAUAGAUGC